AUACGGAGGGUGCAAGCGUUAAUCGGAAUUACUGGGCGUAAAGCGUACGUAGGCGGCAAGUUAAGUUAGAUGUGAAAGCCCCGGGCUCAACCUGGGAACUGCAUUUAAAACUGGCUUGCUAGAGUUGAGUAGAGGGGAGUGGAAUUUCAGGUGUAGCGGUGAAAUGCGUAGAGAUCUGAAGGAACACCAGUGGCGAAGGCGACUCCCUGGACUCGAACUGACGCUGAGGUACGAAAGCGUGGGUAGCAAACGGAAUUAGAAACCCUAGUAGUCC
RNAcentral lists this ribosomal RNA (274 nucleotides) under uncultured bacterium. Its description in RNAcentral is "partial 16S ribosomal RNA". It matches the Rfam family "Bacterial small subunit ribosomal RNA", at positions 523 to 796 of the family's 1533-position model. The record is from RNAcentral.